This 253-nucleotide ribosomal RNA is filed under the name uncultured bacterium. RNAcentral describes it as "partial 16S ribosomal RNA". It matches the Rfam family "Bacterial small subunit ribosomal RNA", at positions 524 to 776 of the family's 1533-position model. The record is from RNAcentral.
UACGUAGGGUGCGAGCGUUAAUCGGAAUUACUGGGCGUAAAGCGUGCGCAGGCGGUUCGUUGUGUCGGCGGUGAAAUCCCCGGGCUCAACCUGGGAAUGGCCGUUGAAACUGGCGAACUGGAGUGUGGCAGAGGGGGGUGGAAUUCCGCGUGUAGCAGUGAAAUGCGCAGAUAUCAGGAGGAACACCGGUGGCGAAGGCGGGUCUCUGGGCAACAACUGACGCUGAGGAGCGAAAGCGUGGGGAGCGAACAGG